CUGGAGCCAUGAGUUGAUUAAAGGGAAGUAUUGACUGAUUUAAGCUAAUUAUUUAGAAGAUAUUAGUAAAAUUUAGCUAUUAGGCGUUUGAUGUUUAUUGGAUCAAAUAGCCGAAAUUCAAUUAUCAAACACUUUUUGAGUAAUUGCAACUUUAAUAAAUUUCAAAACCUGCUGCAUCCGCCACCCGCCAGCCCAGCCACUGACCUCCUUCACUGACGUCCGGAAGCCCACGCCCCAGGCUCUUCCGCACAGCCGCAGCCGCCAGCCGGCCGCCGCCCACCAAAGUGUAUACUUUUUUCCUUUUUCGUUUUUCCCUAAAAGUUUUAAAUUUCUUAUAGAUUUUUCAUUUCUUUGAAUGUUAAUUGCUAUACGUUUUUUCAUGAUAGAUGAUCAUCCAAUACCUCAAGGCUCAAACCAUAUUUGUUAAUCAAUUUAGGGUUUUAGUUUAAUUGGUUAAACUUAUAAAUUUAGGUUUUAUAUUUAAUUUCUUUGAAUUUAUUAGAGUUUCAAUUGAUUAGUAAUUUACUUUUACAAUUGAUUUAGGUAAUUUGUUUGAAUUUCUUAAAAUAUUAGAUAAUUAAUUUAGGGUUUUUGGCUAUGCAUAUUCAAAUGGUAGAUUUGUAGUGAGUGGUUUUGGCCUAUCUGGGAUGAAGGUAAUAGCAAAGUGGUCAUGGGAAGGCUGUAAAUACUUGGGCAUCACAGGAUAGGAUGUGCCUUGGCUUCUUCAAUUUUUUUAAAAAAAUGCUUUUGCAUAGUUUGAUUCUGGCUAGUAGCUUACACAAUCAAAGAAUAUAAUUAAAGAGCAACAUUUUUUUCCAAUAACCUUCCUUGAAUCCUUCUCUUCUAGCCAAACCUUAAGAGUCUGUUGCUUUAUGUACGAAACUUUUUUUGGGAUGAUUGGUUACCUGAUGAUAUGGAUGUUUCCGGAAUCCACUGAUUCUCAAGAACUAAUGCCAAUUUAUGGACUACCACUGGUUUCAGUCAACACUUUUAUUUAUAUGGCCAUAUGGGUAGUGUUAAUCAUUAAAUACGUGAAUUCCUUGUCUAGUUGUUUGAAGGAUAUGUUUAGUAAUGUUCAGUUGGUUGAUUGAAUAUGACAUCACUUUGUGCUUACUCAUUUGUAUGUUGGCAUGUAGAAUGCUAACAAGGGACUUGUACUAAAAAUGUUUAUCGAGUCAGGGACUUAAUUGCAUGAAUAUUGAUAUGGACAUGGUGGCUCAUUGUCUAAUGUUUGUGUUGGAUCGAGUAUGGAAGGAGGGGUUAAUCGGCAUGCUUUAGAAACACAAGAUGCUGAUUUGGUUGAACAUCAUAUCAAUGAUGAGGUUUUGGAAACGCUCAGUAUGUGAAGAACAAGAAGAGAAAAAAGAAAUACAAGGAUGGUUCGCAUGAGCAAUAACAGUGAGAAAAGCAGGGAUAGGAGCAGUUCAAAGAAGAAGAAGCACUCUAUUGGGUUUAAUACUGUAGAAGAUUUACAUGCUGCUGUAUUAGAGAAUAAUGAGAACAGUAAAACUGCUGAGCCUUCUGAAAAUUCCAAUAGCAGUAAGAAAUCAAGAAAAGUAACGUUUUCUGAUAAUGUAGAAGUUUUCACCCUUCCAGACAAUUCUAGCAAAGGGAAGAAGAGGAAUCGUGAAGGUGACAUUGAGGAGAAGAAAGUUCCUGAUGAUGGCUUGAUACGUGGCGAGCGAUUCUCGAAAGAAGAGGAGAUUGUCCAAGAUGCUGUAACCAUCUGGGUGAACAAGGUUUAGAAAUGGUCGUGAAUUGCAAGUCCUACCCAAAAUUGAAAGACUGUUGGAAAGAAAUUGGGGAAGCUUUGCCUUAUAGACCUUAUGUGGCUGUCUAUUCUGGGCUCAUAUAUUGUUUGAACGAAGUGGGACCCGCGAGUGGACCCCAGAAGAGAUUGAGUAUGUCAUGAAAUCUUAUGAAAAGCAUGGUUCAGAUUGGAAAAAAAUGAGUAUUGAACUUGGGUGUUUUCCCGGAGAACCCAGAGAUUCAUAUUUAUGGUAAGUCAUGCAUCUUUGUAAUUUCAUAGCUUCAUGAUGAUGAUCCAUCAUUGUUUUCUGGAUUGCUUGUUUUUUUUUGUUUUGGGUGUGAUUUGGAUUUAAAAUUCCUCGGUAAACCCUAGAGAUUCCUAUUCAUGAUAAGUCAUCCAUCUUUGUUAUCUGUGAUUGUUAUUAACAUUGUACUGAGUUGCAGAUUUUGUUAUCUGCUCCUGCUAAAAUCAAUUUCUAUGGAGGAAGAAUUAAUCACAUCUUUCUUGGUUAGUUUUAUGUGUAUUAGCUCUAGAUAGGAAACUAGACUUAGGUUUUGGUUGUUGGCGGGAGCUAUUCCAUGGUUUGAUUAACCGAAAGUAUUGACUGAUUUUGCUAGCUGAUGUUUAAGACUUUAAGCUAGUUAUUUAGAAGAUGGUAAAAAUUUAGCUAUUGGUUGUUUGGUGUUUAUUGGGUCAAAUACCCAACAGUCAACGUAAAAGCCAACUUUUAAGUAAACUUAAAAGUCAUGUACAGACUUUUUUAGUAUUCAACCAACCAAAAAGUCAUUUAUUAGUUCAUUUUCAGCCAGAGAAACUCAAGGUUAACAAACAUGUAAAACUACUUACCAUACAAUUUGCGUUGAUGAUUGUAUCUACCUGAUGUAU
Amaranthus tricolor (Joseph's coat) is the source of this 2635-nucleotide RNA transcript. RefSeq lists it as uncharacterized. NCBI's taxonomy places the organism in Eukaryota, Viridiplantae, Streptophyta, Magnoliopsida, Caryophyllales, Amaranthaceae. The transcript has 2 exons. The record is from RefSeq and is a predicted model, not a curated record.